UGAAUACGAGACGCUAAGGCGUCGAAGUAGUGUAUGUCAUACUUCCAAGAAAAGCUUGCACUGUCAUAGAUAAAAAACGCCUGUACCAUAACAGACACAGGUGGGUAGGUAGAGUAUACUAAGGGGCGCGAGAUAACUCUCUCUAAGGAACUCGGCAAAAUAACUCCGUAACUUCGGGAGAAGGAGUGCCUUAUUCGUAAGGUUGCAAUAACAAGAUCCAAGCAACUGUUUAUCAAAAACACAGGUCUCCGCUAAGUCGUAAGACGAUGUAUGGGGGCUGACGCCUGCCCAGUGCCAGAAGGUUAAAGAAGUUGGUUAGCAAUUGCGAAGCUGAUAACUGAAGCCCUGGUGAACGGCAGCCGUAACUAUAACGGUCCUAAGGUAGCGAAAUUCCUUGUCGGGUAAGUUCCGACCCGCACGAAAGGCGUAAUGAUUUGGAUACUGUCUCGGAGAGGGGCUCGGUGAAAUAGACUUGUCUGUGAAGAUGCGGACUACCUGCACCAGGACAGAAAGACCCUAUGAAGCUUUACUGUAACUUGAAAUUGAAAUUGGACUUUAUUCGCGCAGUAUAGGUGGGAGGCGUUGAUUAUAAUCUUGUGGGAUUAUUGGAGCCAUCAGUGAGAUACCACUCUUGUAAUGUUAGAUUUCUAACUUUGAAUCAUUAUCUGGUCAAAGAACAGUUUCAGGCGGGCAGUUUGACUGGGGCGGUCGCCUCCUAAACGGUAACGGAGGCGUACAAAGGUUUCCUCUGAACGGUUAGAAAUCGUAUCUAGAGUGUAAAGGCAUAAGGAAGCUUGACUGUGAGACCUACAAGUCGAGCAGGGACGAAAGUCGGUCUUAGUGAUCUGACGGUACUGAGUGGAAAGGCCGUCACUCAACGGAUAAAAGUUACUCUAAGGAUAACAGGCUGAUCUCCACCAAGAGUUCACAUCGACGGGGAGGUUUGGCACCUCGAUGUCGGCUCAUCGCAUCCUGGGGCGGUAGUACGUCCCAAGGGUUGGGCUGUUCGCCCAUGAAAGCGGUACGCGAGCUGGGUUCAGAACGUCGUGAGACAGUUCGGUCCAUAUCCGGUGUAGGCGUUAGAAUAUUGAGAGGAGCCUUCUUUAGUACGAGAGGACCGAGAAGGACAUACCACUGGUGUACCAGUUAUCGUGCCAACGGUAAACGCUGGGUAGCUAUGUAUGGAGUGGAUAACCGCUGAAAGCAUCUAAGCGGGAAGCCCACCUCAAGAUAAGUAUUCUCAUC
Molecule: ribosomal RNA, 1245 nt
Filed under: metagenome
Description: bacterial LSU rRNA
Rfam family: Bacterial large subunit ribosomal RNA
Source: RNAcentral